This 432-nucleotide ribosomal RNA is filed under the name uncultured bacterium. Its description in RNAcentral is "partial 16S ribosomal RNA". It matches the Rfam family "Bacterial small subunit ribosomal RNA", at positions 28 to 507 of the family's 1533-position model. The record is from RNAcentral.
GAGGAAAGCUGGCGGUAUGCUUAGCACAUGCAAGUCGAACGGUCACUUCGGUGAUAGUGGCGGACGGGUGAGUAACGCGUGAGAAUCUGUCCUCAGGUCGGGGACAACAGUUAGAAAUGACUGCUAAUACCGGAUGUGCCUUUGGGUGAAAGAUUUAUUGCCUGAAAAAGAGCUCGCGUCAGAUUAGCUAGUAGGUGGUGUAAGAGACUACCUAGGCUCCGAUCUGUAGCUGGUCUGAGAGGACGAUCAGCCACACUGGAACUGAGACACGGUCCAGACUCCUACGGGAGGCAGCAGUGGGGAAUUUUCCGCAAUGGGCGAAAGCCUGACGGAGCAAUACCGCAUGAGGGACGAAGGCUUUUGGGUCGUAAACCUCUUUUCUCAAGGAAGAUGAUGACGGUACUUGAGGAAUAAGCAUCGGCUAACUCUGUG